AUCUGUUCACUACUCUGAGUUGGAACGUGUGAGAUCUGAGUGUAGCCUGCCUGAGCUCAAGAUUGUAGGGAACCGAGUAGGCACAUGGUUGCUCAUUUGUAAGUGUGAUCCCACUUGAGAAAGAGAUAAAGAGAGAGACAGAGAGAAAAGAGGGAAAGGUGCCAGAGUCAGUGUAAGAGAGACAGGGAGAGAGUGUAAAGCAUUUCCACCUGUAGUACAAUGGAAGACUGUGCAGUGUCUUUCUGGAUUUACAUCGGAGUGAUGUCCAUCCUUGCUGGUGGAGCGGUGAAGAAGUUUCUGGCAUUCCACAUCGGUGCCAUGCCCUCAAUAGUGGUAUGGCUUGGUGCCACUCUGCUGGUGGAGAGACUGUGUACCCUGUGCAUGCCUGCUGUGCUGGCAAGAUUGGUCCUCUGUGUGUCCUGCUGGCUGUACUUUACGUGGGCCACCCCAAAACCCCUCCUGCCAGUUGAAGGCAAGGCUGUCUUCAUCACAGGUUGUGAUUCAGGGUUUGGUAACGCUACAGCAAAACGGUUAGAUGCCAUGGGGUUUGAAGUGUUUGCGACCGUAUUGAACUUGGAUGGAGAGGGAGCCAAGCACUUGCGCAGAGUCUGUUCAUCACGCCUUACCCUCCUUCAGGUAGACAUCACCCAGCCUCAGCAGGUACAGCAAGCCCUGCUUGACACCAAGGCCAAACUUGGUAUGAGAGAUUUGUGGGGGCUUGUUAAUAACGCUGGAUGGUGUGUGAACAUUGGGGAUGUUGAGCUCUCACUGAUGUCCACCUACAGAGGAUGCAUGGAGGUUAACUUCUUUGGAACACUCAACGUCACCAGGACCUUCCUGCCACUUCUCAGACAGGCUAAAGGCCGGAUUGUGACAAUCUCCAGCCCUUCAGGUGAGCAUCCCUUCCCUUGUUUGGCGUCGUACGGGGCUUCAAAAGCUGCUCUGAAUCUUUUUACCAACACACUUCGUCAUGAGUUGGAGCCAUGGGGUGUCAAAGUCUCCACAAUUUUACCCUCUGCCUUUAAGACAGGGCAGAGCAGUAACACAGAGUACUGGGAAAAACAGUACAAGAACCUGAUCCAGGACUUGCCUCCAAGCCUUCUAGAAGAAUAUGGAGAAGAAUACCUGCUGGAGACCAAGGAACUGUUCCAGAGUUAUGCAAAAACGGCCAAAGAGGACCUGAGCCCUGUCAUCGACACCAUUGUGGAUGCCCUCCUCUCUUCUCAACCCCAGGUGCGAUACUAUGCCGGGCCGGGUUUAUCGCUCAUGUACUUCAUCUGCAGCUACUUGCCUUUGAGCAUCAGUGACAGAUUCCUCCAGAAACUCUUUGUACAGAAGAAAGUGAUGCCUCGUGCCAUUAGGAAACAACAAGGCCUGAGCCUCAACGACAAUAACAACAGCAUAAAGGAGAACAUGAAUAACAGUAACAACAACAACAGCUUCACAAAGAUUAUCAAUUAGUUCUGGUAAAAAGUGUAAAGCCAUCCAUUAGCACCACUAAUGUGAUCUACUUAUAGAGAUAUGUUUCCAAUGUGUAUACUCUACUUUUCUCAUGUCUUCAUUUUGUUGUAUAUAUUGUGUAAUAUGUUGAGGGGAUCACUGAAUUGCACCAAAUCAUCUAUGGCAAACCCAGUGCUUAAAAGGCAGUUGACACUCAUGAGCAUAAUAAAAAAAAGAGGUCAUGCCCACAGGCCAUAUUAUAAUUAAUAAAAGUUCUCAGGUGAGGCAAAAUCCAAACAGAUAACAUAAGGUUUAUGCAUUUCUCAGAAGACAUAAAUUCUGGGUGUUCAGCACGGAGACACCUUAAUUGAGUUUGGUGUGAAAUUUCAGUUUCGCUAAGGCAUGGAAGAUCAUCAACAGCCAAACACCCGAUACUGGACCGAGAGGCUGAUGAUAAUGUUACUGUGAUCAAACCAGGGUUAAAUGUGGUCAGAGUGCAACAUAAAGUAAAUAUUGGGUUGUUUUUUUUUUUAUUAGUUUUUUUUUUUAAGUGACCAAUGGGCUGAAGUGGUUCCUAAAGUCAGAAGUCCUUUUUUAAAUGUAUUGUACUCCAUAGUUUUGCAUUUGUUAUAUUUGCUUAUUUUUUCCAUGUCACAUUGUUUGGCAUAUUUAAGCCAUUUUGUUUUUAGAUAAAUCACUUAAACUGUGAAUUUUAUACAAAUAUGGGCGAAAAACGAAAAAAAAAAUUUGUUAGUAGUGUAUUAAAGAUGACUUUUUAAAUAA
This is an RNA transcript of Carassius auratus (goldfish), 2223 nucleotides long. It is a transcript of the gene named corticosteroid 11-beta-dehydrogenase isozyme 2-like, with no coding region annotated. NCBI's taxonomy places the organism in Eukaryota, Metazoa, Chordata, Actinopteri, Cypriniformes, Cyprinidae. The transcript has 5 exons. The record is from RefSeq and is a predicted model, not a curated record.